Molecule: long non-coding RNA, 1821 nt
Filed under: Felis catus (domestic cat)
Lineage: Eukaryota; Metazoa; Chordata; Mammalia; Carnivora; Felidae
Description: lncRNA (ENSFCAG00000048133.1)
Source: RNAcentral
AACCUGAAAAGAUCACCAGCGUCCCUUGGGAAAACCAGUUAUGCCUCUGAGUAUGAUUUUUUUCAAUGUUUUUUUCAAAACCGACCUUCUCGAUGACCCAGCGCAAAAUUGAAUGUCAAGAGAAUAAGAUCUUGCGAUACUAACUUCCAAUUCUGUCCGGAAAAGUAGCUAACCCCCCCAAACAAAAGAACAAACACCUUAUUCAUGCCCAAGGACGUCCUCAGAAUUAAUGUAGAGCUGUCAUUACGAGCUGCAUGCGGUUAAAAAUAACAUUAAAUCGCUUAUUUUUGUAGCCUUGAUGUUCGUUUUUGGUUUUGGUUUUUUUUUUUUUUUUGAUGUUCGUUUUUAAGAUAAAGCCCCAAUCAAUUCCCCCCUUUAUAUAUUAGAGAAUUUCUGUCACCAAAGUGGAUUCAUUUGAACAAUUAUUCUCCAGAACAGAAGAGGCAUUUUGUCCCCCUGCUUUUUGAAAUAGAAAUAUACAAUCCAUGGGGCGCCUGGGUGGCGCAGUCGGUUAAGCGUCCGACUUCAGCCAGGUCACGAUCUCGCGGUCCGGGAGUUCGAGCCCCGCGUCAGGCUCUGGGCUGAUGGCUCGGAGCCUGGAGCCUGUUUCUGAUUCUGUGUCUCCCUCUCUCUCUGCCCCUCCCCCGUUCAUGCUCUGUCUCUCUCUGUCCCAAAAAUAAAUAAACGUUGAAAAAAAAAAUUAAAAAAAAAAAAAAAGAAAUAUACAAUCCAAGUAUAAAACCACAACUUUGGAUGCCUGUUUCUUUUUGACAGAAAAGUACCUCCAACCGGAAACUAUCUUCUUGACCAGAAAAUGCUGCUCUCCCAGAUGCUCGCUCUGCUUUGCAGCUUUAACCCACGUGGGCUUUCGUUUUGUUUGUUGUGUGUGUGUGUGUGUGCAUGCGCGUGCAGGGGUGGGGGGAGAGGAGGAAGGGUGGCCAAAAUGAUUUCUUGGUCACUGCCUCUUGGUAAAGACGCACACAGGCAGGUUGGGAACCACUUAUGGGAAGAAAACUGUAUUUGUAGCUACAUGGCCCACUUUCAGUUAAAAUAAAACUCACUUUCCCCCUUAAACAAAAGGGGCAGGAAGCACUCAACCUGGGUGUCUCCCCAGGCUGGACAAUGACUUUGAGCCACUCAUUUCCUCUCCUUGUUCCUGGUCUGAGUUUUCCAUUCAUAGGGCCAGAGCCCAGAUCUCAGGUCCAAACAACUGACUGCUUGGCAGGGAGACUGGAGGGCGAAUUCAAAGCAGGCUUUGGGCUCUCUUGCUGAAGGUGUCUCAGAGGGUAGGGGACACUGAGCACAUCGAUGACAACAUUUCCCCAGUACUUUUGUGGCUCCUGCCCUGUCCUGGGUACGUGACAUGAACUAGCCCCUUUUGUCCUCACAGACUGCCCAGGAAGACAGUAGGACUCUGCCUGUUUUACAGAUGAGGAGACUGAGGCACAGAGGGGAAAAGGAAGAGGCUCCACAGCUUUCAAAGGACAGGGCUGGGACUCGAACCCGGGCUGCCUCCAGAGCCCAAGCUUCACCCUAGACGAGUGAGUCUCAAACUUGGUGGGGUGAGUGUGGGCAUUUGGACCCUCAGAAGACAUUUGGAGGGCGACGUGUGCAGACAUUUUCAGCUGUUAGGACUUGGCGAGAGCUACUGGAAUCGAGAAGGUAGAAGCCAGGGAGGUUGGUGAAUCUCCGACAGGACAGGCCCCUCGCUGAGUUAUUCAGUCUAUAGCGUGGCUGUUACCGAAACCCUACCUAGACUCUUUCAGGAAAAGACUAUUGAGUGGCUCAUUCGGUUAAGCAUCUGACUCUUGAUUUUGGCUC